This 254-nucleotide ribosomal RNA is filed under the name uncultured bacterium. RNAcentral describes it as "partial 16S ribosomal RNA". It matches the Rfam family "Bacterial small subunit ribosomal RNA", at positions 524 to 776 of the family's 1533-position model. The record is from RNAcentral.
UACGUAGGGUGCGAGCGUUGUCCGGAAUUAUUGGGCGUAAAGAGCUCGUAGGUGGUGUGUCACGUCGGCCGUGAAAACCUGCAGCUUAACUGUGGGCGUGCGGUCGAUACGGGCAUCACUGGAGUUCGGCAGGGGAGACUGGAAUUCCUGGUGUAGCGGUGAAAUGCGCAGAUAUCAGGAGGAACACCUGCGGCGAAGGCGGGUUGCUGGGCCGACACUGACGCUGAGGCGCGAAAGCCAGGGGAGCGAACGGG